CAAUAGCGUAUAUUAAAGUUGUUGCGGUUAAAAAGCUCGUAGUUGGAUUUCUGCCGAGGACGUCCGGUCCACCCUCUGGGUGUGUACAUGGCACGGCCUGGGCAUCUUCUUGGGGUACGUAUCUGCACUUGACUGUGUGGUGCGGAAUCCAGGACUUUUACUUUGAGGAAAUUAGAGUGUUUCAAGCAGGCACGCGCCUUGAAUACAUUAGCAUGGAAUAAUAAGAUAGGACCUCGGUUCUAUUUUGUUGGUUUCUAGAGCUGAGGUAAUGAUUAAUAGGGAUAGUUGGGGGCAUUCGUAUUUAACUGUCAGAGGUGAAAUUCUUGGAUUUGUUGAAGACGGACUACUGCGAAAGCAUUUGCCAAGGAUGUUUUCAUUGA
This 380-nucleotide ribosomal RNA is filed under the name uncultured eukaryote. RNAcentral's name for it is "partial 18S ribosomal RNA". It matches the Rfam family "Eukaryotic small subunit ribosomal RNA", at positions 592 to 976 of the family's 1831-position model. The record is from RNAcentral.